UGGGGCCUACGGGGGGCAGCAGUGGGGAAUAUUGCACAAUGGGGGAAACCCUGAUGCAGCAACGCCGCGUGAGUGAAGAAGUAUUUCGAUAUGUAAAGCUCUAUCAGCAGGGAAGAAGAUGACGGUACCUGAUUAAGAAGCCCCGGCUAACUACGUGCCAGCAGCCGCGGUAAUACGUAGGGGGCAAGCGUUAUCCGGAUUUACUGGGUGUAAAGGGAGCGUAGACGGUGAGACAAGUCUGAAGUGAAAGCCCGGGGCUCAACCCCGGGACUGCUU
Molecule: ribosomal RNA, 276 nt
Filed under: uncultured bacterium
Lineage: Bacteria
Description: partial 16S ribosomal RNA
Rfam family: Bacterial small subunit ribosomal RNA
Source: RNAcentral